RNAcentral lists this ribosomal RNA (585 nucleotides) under Kurtzmaniella quercitrusa. Its description in RNAcentral is "partial large subunit ribosomal RNA". It matches the Rfam family "Eukaryotic large subunit ribosomal RNA", at positions 50 to 656 of the family's 3401-position model. Lineage: Eukaryota; Fungi; Ascomycota; Pichiomycetes; Serinales; Debaryomycetaceae. The record is from RNAcentral.
ACGGAGGAAAAGAAACCAACAGGGAUUGCCUUAGUAACGGCGAGUGAAGCGGCAAAAGCUCAAAUUUGAAAUCUGGCACUUUCAGUGUCCGAGUUGUAAUUUGAAGAAGGUAACUUUGGAGUUGGCCCUUGUCUAUGUUCCUUGGAACAGGACGUCACAGAGGGUGAGAAUCCCGUGCGAUGAGGUGUCCAAUUCUAUGUAAAGUGCUUUCGAAGAGUCGAGUUGUUUGGGAAUGCAGCUCUAAGUGGGUGGUAAAUUCCAUCUAAAGCUAAAUAUUGGCGAGAGACCGAUAGCGAACAAGUACAGUGAUGGAAAGAUGAAAAGAACUUUGAAAAGAGAGUGAAAAAGUACGUGAAAUUGUUGAAAGGGAAGGGCUUGAGAUCAGACUCGGUAUUUUGCAAGCCUAUCCUUCGUGGAGAGGUUUAUUAGCAGCUUACCGGGCCAGCAUCGGUUUGGAUGGUAGGAUAAUGGCAUUGGAAUGUGGCUCCUCGGAGUGUUAUAGCCUUUGUUGAUACUGCCUAUCUAGACCGAGGACUGCGUCUUUGACUAGGAUGCUGGCGUAAUGAUCUUAAGCCGCCCGUCUUA